UGAUACGAAUAUGUUCACCACUCCAGAAACUCAGUUACUGGUCUUAAAUAUCACAUUUCCUGUCCAUUCAUUUGACAGGUCUGGACCAUAUAUUCUGGGCACUUUUUCCCUUUUUCUUUAAUAAGGAAACUUCUUGGCAUGGUUUUCCCCCAACACUCAUCUUUUCUUCAGGAGGACGAUGAAAUAGCGGUCCAUCUUCAAUACAGAGAAGUAGCUCUGGCCUGUGGCUAUAUCCACGAGUAAAAUAUUUGCAACAUACACAUGGAAUAUACAGAGAUGGUCCCUUUCUGCCCAAACACUAAGGGGAAAUGAAACAGAGCAUAUCUGGCUAUGUAGUUGGACUGUUAUGUCAAUCUGAUUAGAAAAUUGUGAAAAUGCAAGAGACUAGGGAAGGAUGAACUGUGUGGCGUUUCAGUUCCAGCAAGUAUUUCAACUCAAUCAAGUCAGUUCUAUCCAAUGGAUCACCAAGGAGUUGUAAGCUGCAAACAGGAACCUGACAAGCUACCUUAUGAUGGAUCUUUUCUCCCCACGAAACUAUCAACAUCAUCAAUCCCUUCAAUCAAAGCAAGAUAAGUGCUAUCAUCAGGGGUAAUGCCUUUACUAACCAUUUCUUUGAGAAGUUCCUCGGCAAGUACACCUUCCUGUUUUUUGCAUAAACCUUGUAUGAGAGCAUUGUAAGUGAGAAGAGUAGGGUUAAAACCUGCACUUAACAUGUCAUCACGAACUUUGAAUGCAUCAUCCAUGUCACCUCUCUUACUAUACCCACUGAUUAGAGUGUUAUAGCUGAUAUGAUCAGGUUUAAUUCCUCUUCCCUUCAUCUCCUUGAGAAGUGCACAAGCUUCUUCAACUUUACUCUCCCUACAAUACCCUUGCAUCAGACAAUUGUAGGUAACUUCAUCAGGCUGAAUGUUCAUUCUAUUCAUCUCCUUCAGUAUAUCAAAAGCACGUACAACGUUACCAUUGGCACAAUGGCCAUCAAUCAAUGCAUUGAACAUAAUAAGAUCUGGGAAUAUCCCUUUCCGCAAUAUUUCAACAACCAAAUCAUCUGCUUCUUUCAUCCGAUUCCAUUUGCCCAAGACUUUGAUAAGUGAUGUAUAAGUGACAAUCGUUGGUUGGAGACCCUUACUCAACAUUUCAUCAUAGAACUUAAAUGCCUUCUUUGGAUUUCCCGCCCUGCAAUAGCCAUUGAUCAAUAUGUUAUAUGUAAUACUAUCAGGAAGUACUCUCUUCUCUGCCAUGUCUUUCAUCAGAUCAUCAGUUUCCGCCAUUCUGCCAUCAAGAAACAAUGCAUGGAUCAACAAGUUAUACGUAGUAACACUCGGCGCAACCCCAAUCUUAACCAUCUCAUCCCUAUAAAAGAACACCUUUUCGAAGUCCCCUUUAUUGCAGCAUGAAUCUAUCAGAGUAUUGUAAGUCACAGCUGUAGGGAUCAACCCGAACGACUUCAUUUUCUCAAACAAUGAAGACACCUCCUUUUCCCUCCCCUCCUUCACCAUCCCGCUGAUUAGAGAAUUAAACGUAUACAAAUCAGGCGCAAUUCCUUUUACUGUCAUCGUCUCGAAAAACUUAUUUGCUCCUUCAACAUCCCCCUUCGAACAAUAACCAUGAAUCACUGUAUUAUACGAUAUUAAAUUCGGCUUAACCCCUAAACACUGCAUGUUUUCAAUGAACUCCUUUGCCUUCUUCAACUUGCCUUCUUUACAUAGAACAUUGAUCAUUAUAUUAAAUGUACAUACAGUCGAACUAAUCUUCAUCCUAAACAUUUCAGCAUACACAAUCCAGGCCAAAUGGGUCCUAUUCAAUUUAUUAAAAAGACUCAAUAAAUCAUUACAAGUUUCAAUCUUGGGCAAAAUUCCAUUCUGUUUCAUUAAAUAAAAGCACUUUAACGCCUCCUUGCCUUUCUUCAAUUCACAGUACGCCCUUACAAGCAAAUCCAACACAAUUGAG
This 1947-nucleotide long non-coding RNA is filed under the name Nicotiana benthamiana. RNAcentral's name for it is "long non-coding RNA (NBEN_LNC029204)". Lineage: Eukaryota; Viridiplantae; Streptophyta; Magnoliopsida; Solanales; Solanaceae. The record is from RNAcentral.